Long non-coding RNA from Juglans microcarpa x Juglans regia, 144 nucleotides. RefSeq lists it as uncharacterized. The transcript has 3 exons. Lineage: Eukaryota; Viridiplantae; Streptophyta; Magnoliopsida; Fagales; Juglandaceae. The record is from RefSeq and is a predicted model, not a curated record.
UUACGCUAUAACUCAUAAUUAAUAAGAAUGUGGAGUAUUGCCAAAAAGCUACUAUUUCAUUUUUUUUUUUUUUGAAAAAAUAAGAUCAAUAAAACAGUACGCAGUGAGAAUGUGGUACCUGGGUUAGGUUAUCGCGACGGCAAC